UAGGGAAUCUUCCGCAAUGGACGCAAGUCUGACGGAGCAACGCCGCGUGAGUGAAGAAGGAUUUCGAUUCGUAAAACUCUGUUGUUAGAGAAGAACAGCGCAUAGAGUAACUGUUAUGCGUGUGACGGUAUCUAACCAGAAAGCCACGGCUAACUACGUGCCAGCAGCCGCGGUAAUACGUAGGUGGCAAGCGUUGUCCGGAUUUAUUGGGCGUAAAGCGAGCGCAGGCGGUCAAUUAAGUCUGAUGUGAAAGCCCCCGGCUCAACCGGGGAGGGUCAUUGGAAACUGGUUGACUUGAGUGCAGAAGAGGAGAGUGGAAUUCCAUGUGUAGCGGUGAAAUGCGUAGAUAUAUGGAGGAACACCGGUGGCGAAAGCGGCUCUCUGGUCUGUAACUGACGCUGAGGCUCGAAAGCGUGGGGAGCGAACAGG
This 429-nucleotide ribosomal RNA is filed under the name Bacteroidota bacterium. RNAcentral describes it as "Bacteroidetes bacterium partial 16S ribosomal RNA". It matches the Rfam family "Bacterial small subunit ribosomal RNA", at positions 355 to 776 of the family's 1533-position model. Lineage: Bacteria; Pseudomonadati; Bacteroidota. The record is from RNAcentral.